CGGGUGAGUAACGCGUGGGUAACCUGCCUCAUACAGGGGGAUAACAGUUAGAAAUGACUGCUAAUACCGCAUAAGCGCACAGUGCUGCAUGGCACAGUGUGAAAAACUCCGGUGGUAUGAGAUGGACCCGCGUCUGAUUAGCUAGUUGGUGGGGUAACGGCCCACCAAAGCGACGAUCAGUAGUCGGCCUGAGAGGGUGAACGGCCACAUUGGGACUGAGACACGGCCCAAACUCCUACGGGAGGCAGCAUG
RNAcentral lists this ribosomal RNA (252 nucleotides) under uncultured bacterium. RNAcentral describes it as "partial 16S ribosomal RNA". It matches the Rfam family "Bacterial small subunit ribosomal RNA", at positions 103 to 353 of the family's 1533-position model. The record is from RNAcentral.